AACAUUAUUAAUAUUUUCUGUCCUCCAGAGAACAUCACUGCCUGCUCUGGCGUUUCACAUACAUUUUCUGGAAUGUGGAUGGAAAUUUUCAUCUCCUUAUAAUACAGAGCUCAGUACAGCUUUCUGGUAUUAAUUGAUGUUUUCCAUAAGCUUCAUAGAACACCAGCCAAUUUCUUUAAGGAACCAAAUGAUAGGACAAUGGCUCUGGAUAUCAUUGUGACUGGUGUUCCUUUUAGAGAGCCAGACUUUAAACUUCACAGAGGAUGGCAGCAGACACCAUGUGAGUUGGGGAUGUUUCUCCUUCUUUGGAGGACAUGACUAAACAGGGCAGGAAGACCUAGACAAGGAACUGCUUGAUCAUUGGCUGACAGAUCCAGGCAACAACACACUGAUACCUGCUCUGGUUCUAAGUCUCUACCAGCAGUACUUGUUUCUGUUCUGAUGAAACAAGCCCAGGAGCUGACACAAGUCUGAGCUGUGAGCCCUUGAUCCUGGUUUGUCCUUGAAGUAUGAGGCUGCUGACUGGAGUAACCAUGUUUUUGACCUUGGGGACUGUGAUUAAUGCUAAGACCACCCAGCCCAGCUCCAUGGAUUGUGCUGAAGGAGAGGAUGUAAACCUGCCUUGUAACCACUCUACCAUUGGUGGAGAUGAAUAUAUACAUUGGUAUCGGCAAAAUCCCAGUCAGAGUCCACAGUAUGUCAUUCGUGGCUUACGAGGCACAGUGAACAGCAGCCUGGCCUCUCUGACCAUAGCUUCAGACAGAAAGUCCAGCACCUUGGUCCUGCCCCAGGUCACCCUGAGAGACACCGCUGUGUACUACUGCAUCCUGAGAGGGGCACAGUGGGACAGAUGGGGCUGCACCUGUGCAAUAUCUCUGGUGGGAAGAAAGGGGGACAGAGUGGGGGGAGCAGUCAUGAGAGAAAAUCUAGAGUUAUCUGGAAGGAGAGUCAGAGAGCAGUAA
Molecule: non-coding RNA, 962 nt
Organism: Odocoileus virginianus texanus
Lineage: Eukaryota; Metazoa; Chordata; Mammalia; Artiodactyla; Cervidae
Source: the annotation of a RefSeq genome assembly